This 394-nucleotide ribosomal RNA is filed under the name uncultured bacterium. RNAcentral describes it as "partial 16S ribosomal RNA". It matches the Rfam family "Bacterial small subunit ribosomal RNA", at positions 338 to 729 of the family's 1533-position model. The record is from RNAcentral.
CCUACGGGAGGCAGCAGUGAGGAAUAUUGGUCAAUGGCGGCGAGUCUGAACCAGCCAAGUAGCGUGAAGGAAGACGGCCCUACGGGUUGUCAACCUCUUUUAUACGGGAAUAAAGUGAGGCACGUGUGACUCAUUGUAGGUCCUCUAUGAAUAAGGAUCGGCUAACACCGUGCCAGCAGCCGCGGUAAUACGGAGGGUCCGAGCGUUAUCCGGAUUUAUUGGGUUUAAAGGGGGCGCAGGAAGGUCGUGAAGUGAGUUGUGAAAGUUGGGGGCUCAACCGUAGAAUUGCAGUUGAUACUGGCGGUCUUGAGUGCGCGUGAGGUAGGCGGAAUUCGUGGUGUAGCGGUGAAAGGCUUAGAUAUCACGCAGAACUCCGAUUGCGAAGGCAGCUUAC